UAUGAAAUCCAUACAAGAAAGUAAAGAUGAAACCUGGAACAUAAGGCUUAGAGAAAGCUCCUCAAGCUCCAGAACUCAAACCCUCUCUUCUAACUUAUGAAAAUAUGAUAAAAUGACAAAAGGUUUCAAGAGAAAUGUCUAAAAACCAAUUUAUAGGUAAAACAUGCGAGUCUGGGCGCUCAGGCGCCAAUUCAGAGCGCCUGAGCG
This 207-nucleotide long non-coding RNA is filed under the name Lotus japonicus. RNAcentral describes it as "long non-coding RNA (LJAP_LNC000335)". Lineage: Eukaryota; Viridiplantae; Streptophyta; Magnoliopsida; Fabales; Fabaceae. The record is from RNAcentral.